Molecule: ribosomal RNA, 1391 nt
Filed under: Bipolaris sp. BPI 892682
Lineage: Eukaryota; Fungi; Ascomycota; Dothideomycetes; Pleosporales; Pleosporaceae
Description: eukaryotic LSU rRNA
Rfam family: Eukaryotic large subunit ribosomal RNA
Source: RNAcentral
AGCAUAUCAAUAAGCGGAGGAAAAGAAACCAACAGGGAUUGCCCUAGUAACGGCGAGUGAAGCGGCAACAGCUCAAAUUUGAAAUCUGGCUCUUUCAGAGUCCGAGUUGUAAUUUGCAGAGGGCGCUUUGGCUUUGGCAGCGGUCCAAGUUCCUUGGAACAGGACGUCACAGAGGGUGAGAAUCCCGUACGUGGUCGCUAGCUAUUGCCGUGUAAAGCCCCUUCGACGAGUCGAGUUGUUUGGGAAUGCAGCUCUAAAUGGGAGGUAAAUUUCUUCUAAAGCUAAAUAUUGGCCAGAGACCGAUAGCGCACAAGUAGAGUGAUCGAAAGAUGAAAAGCACUUUGGAAAGAGAGUCAAACAGCACGUGAAAUUGUUGAAAGGGAAGCGCUUGCAGCCAGACUUGCUUGCAGUUGCUCAUCCGGGCUUUUGCCCGGUGCACUCUUCUGUAGGCAGGCCAGCAUCAGUUUGGGCGGUGGGAUAAAGGUCUCUGUCACGUACCUCUCUUCGGGGAGGCCUUAUAGGGGAGACGACAUACCACCAGCCUAGACUGAGGUCCGCGCAUCUGCUAGGAUGCUGGCGUAAUGGCUGUAAGCGGCCCGUCUUGAAACACGGACCAAGGAGUCUAACAUCUAUGCGAGUGUUUGGGUGUCAAGCCCGAGCGCGUAAUGAAAGUGAACGGAGGUGGGAACCCGCAAGGGUGCACCAUCGACCGAUCCUGAAGUUUACGGAAGGAUUUGAGUAAGAGCAUGGCUGUUGGGACCCGAAAGAUGGUGAACUAUGCUUGAAUAGGGUGAAGCCAGAGGAAACUCUGGUGGAGGCUCGCAGCGGUUCUGACGUGCAAAUCGAUCGUCAAAUUUGGGCAUAGGGGCGAAAGACUAAUCGAACUAUCUAGUAGCUGGUUCCUGCCGAAGUUUCCCUCAGGAUAGCAGUAACGUAUUCAGUUUUAUGAGGUAAAGCGAAUGAUUAGAGGCAUGGGGGUUGAAACAACCUUCACCUAUUCUCAAACUUUAAAUAUGUAAGAAGCCCUUUGUUACUUAAUUGAACGCGGGCAUUUGAAUGAAACGUUAUUAGUGGGCCAUUUUUGGUAAGCAGAACUGGCGAUGCGGGAUGAACCGAACGAGGGGUUACGGUGCCGGAGUACACGCUCAUCAGACACCACAAAAGGUGUUGGUUCAUCUAGACAGCAGGACGGUGGCCAUGGAAGUCGGAAUCCGCUAAGGAGUGUGUAACAACUCACCUGCCGAAUGAACUAGCCCUGAAAAUGGAUGGCGCUCAAGCGUGUCACCUAUACCCCUCCGCCGGGGCAAAAUUUACGCCCCGGCGAGUAGGCAGGCGUGGAGGCUCGUGACGAAGCCUUGGGGGUGACCCCAGGUCGAACGGCCUCUAGUGCA